RNAcentral lists this ribosomal RNA (509 nucleotides) under uncultured bacterium. Its description in RNAcentral is "partial 16S ribosomal RNA". It matches the Rfam family "Bacterial small subunit ribosomal RNA", at positions 28 to 523 of the family's 1533-position model. The record is from RNAcentral.
GACGAACGCUGGCGGCGCGCUUAAUACAUGCAAGUCGAGCGAGAACCAGGGCUUCGGCUCUGGGGACAGCGGCGAACGGGUGAGUAACACGUGGGUAAUCAACCCCCGACACCGGGAUAGCCCAGGGAAACUUGGACUAAUACCGGAUGCCCCGUCUGGCCUUCGGGCCGGCCGGAAAAGGGUAGCUUCGGCCUCUGGUCGGGGACGAGCCCGCGGCGGAUUAGCUUGUUGGUGAGGUAAAGGCUCACCAAGGCGACGAUCCGUAGCUGGUCUGAGAGGACGAUCAGCCACACGGGGACUGAGACACGGCCCAGACUCCUACGGGGGGCAGCAGUAGGGAAUCUUGCGCAAUGGGCGAAAGCCUGACGCAGCGACGCCGCGUGAGGGAAGAAGGCCUUCGGGUUGUAAACCUCUUUCAGGAGGGACGAAGCCACUCGGGUUAAUAGCCUAGAGGGUGACGGUACCUCCAGAAGAAGCCCCGGCUAACUACGUGCCAGCAGCCGCCGUAA